UACCUCUCAACCCCGCACUUCUCUGGAGGUGUUGUUUAGGGUUCGGACCAUGAUGCGUGUGGUUAAGUCCACUGCAUUGAAAUAUAACAAGCUGGAUCCUUUUCUUGCGGCUUGACCCGUUGUUGUAACUUGAAAAUCAAUGGGAACGCAAAUCAAGGAAUGGGCUUACCAUAAACUUAUAUACAAGUGCA
Molecule: unclassified non-coding RNA, 191 nt
Filed under: Cystobasidiopsis nirenbergiae
Lineage: Eukaryota; Fungi; Basidiomycota; Agaricostilbomycetes; Agaricostilbales; Chionosphaeraceae
Description: partial internal transcribed spacer 2
Source: RNAcentral